Long non-coding RNA from Prionailurus viverrinus (fishing cat), 800 nucleotides. RefSeq lists it as uncharacterized. The transcript has 3 exons. The record is from RefSeq and is a predicted model, not a curated record. NCBI's taxonomy places the organism in Eukaryota, Metazoa, Chordata, Mammalia, Carnivora, Felidae.
UGGCUGCCACCUCCUCCGCACGGCAGGGGGGCGCCUUCCUCAUGACACCUGUGCUGCCGUCACAAACAGCUGUUAGUCUUGCUGUCUUCUUUCACCUCCCAUCUGACUCAGAUUACCCCGCACGCAGAGUGCCCCGCACACGGUAUGUUAUUCCAAAGAUUCAGCCGAAUUAAGGACAGAGAGGAGAAAAAGCAGGCAGGGAAGAUUUUCUUAGAUUUCUGUAAUGACGAUGGAUUACCUUUGUAAGUGGAGGCAGAAAGUACCGAUCCUCUUCUAGAACAAACCAUGGUGCACAAACCUCUGACAUGCUUGAGUGAUUACAACUUAACAACGUUCUGCUGGUGUUUCCUGUGUGCCACCAGGCCAACCCCCAGGAAGGAUCUGGCCUCAUCACAUGGCUGCUCUCAUUCUAAGGAAGAAAAAGAGACCCAGAGAUGGUGAACGACUUUCCUCAAGCUCCAAACCAGUUGUACCAAGUCAGGGCUUGAAGUCAGCUCUUGCAACCUCCACCCAGUACCCUUUGCCCGGCUUCACUAUUUCUCUGAAUCUGAGGUGCUCGGUGUUAUUGACGUCAUGUUUACAUCUAGGCCUGCCCCAUUUACCCCCGGGGUUUCUCAGCUUCGACGCUAUGGAUAGUGGGGGCCAGAUAAUUCUUUGUGGAGGGGGGCUGCCCUCUGUAUUGUAGAAAGCUUAGUAGCACCUUUGGCCUCUCUCCUCUCUUUGCCAGUAGCACCCUGGUCCCACUCAUGUGACAAUAAAAAUGUCCCCAGAUAUUGCUGAAUGUCCCUUGGGGGGCACAG